CUUGAAUGGAUAAACUCUGAUACCAUAAUAGAAUUUGAGUUAGGCUGAACUGAAAUUCUAAGAUGGUAUCCGAGACUAUUCAACAUCAAUUGAGUCACCUUCUAUCGGGCGACUCGAGUCACACUCCAGAUGUCUGGUGCUGAGUUUUAGGGUGUGUGUGUUAAGAGUUUUAUAUUGGAUGAGAUAUGACUUGAAAAUGAGGCUACAAGUGGAAGACAUCUCUAACUUUACAAGUUGGUUUUGUAGAGUUGUGUUAGGUCCAACCAAAAUUCUAACUUAUCACGAAUAUUCACUAGUUAAUUUAUGUGGAAACUUUGAUGUGAUUGUCCAUUUUACUCUUUUGAAUCAAUUAGUUACAUUAGCCCUUGAUUUUGUUGCCUGCUUCGUUGUAUGAUUUGUUGGGCUAUGAACCAUACUCACGGUUACAGGAGCAUGACACAAAGCAAGUGUGAACAUGUGUGUGUGAUCCUUUCAAAUUGAGAAUCUCCUGGUUAACUAUAAGCUUAUGAAGGGACAAAAUUCAAUCAGCUUUGUUAUUUUUCUUCUCAUCUUACAGACAGAAAUUGUGCAUGAAAAGGUCUCAUGCAGUUACCAGAGUCUAAAUUUCCUGAUCUGGUGUGUGAAGGGGAUUAUGAGAGGGAAUGCAUUUGAGAGAUAACGGAAGAAAUUUAGUGAUAAAAGAAAAUAUUUAACUGAAUGAGAAAAUAUACGGCAAUUAUAAUUUUAUAUCGACACAGGCAAUUAGAAAGUUAAUUACACUCUUUUCGAUUUCUUUUAUCAAGUAAUCUAGUGACUAAAAGUUCAUCCUUAAAGGUGAAUAAAUGGAGAAUUUAGAGUUUGAACGCUGAUCAUUACAUAUACGGUCAAACUAUUAUUGUAAUCAAAUUAUAUUUAAUUUAGAAACAAAAAUCAAAUUUUUAUUCAUAUUAAUGGUGGAAAAAAAAAAUGGAACAUUCAUUCAUUCAUGGAUAUAAAUAAGGCAUGCACAUUCUUACGUGGAUAUGUCCAAUGAAAUCUCAAUAGAUAAGAGCUUACCAUCAAACUCCAUUUCUUGGAUUGACAUGUGCUUAUGUUGACGUCACAUGCAAUUUUUCAACGGAUUCAUCAUGAAAUUUAUUCCAUAUGCUUAAUGAGUUCACACUUGCAUAACCUAAUAAUAAUACUAAGCUUCAUUUGCCAAAAAAAAAUAAUUGAAAAAUACUAAACUUCAUGGUAAAGUCCAAUAAGUGGUGUGGUGUACACAUUCAAGAAAUCCUGUUUUCAUAAAAAAAGUGAAUAUUUUAAUUUGAUCUCUCAUUGUUCAUUUAGACAAAACAAAUAAAAAUAUCAAAUUAGUCUCUUCACAUUUUCGUAUUAAGGGCAAAUUAUUUCAUUCAUUUGUUACAAUGAAUCACAUAUUAAUUUAUCUUAUGCAUAACAAUGUCGACCGAGACUAGUUUGAGUAUUAAUUUGUAAGAGACUAAAUUGAACCAUAACAAAAUUGUGAAGGAUUAUAUAUAUUUACUCUAAAAUAAUAUACUAUAUAAGUAAGCAACAAACUUAUUCUAAUCUAAAGUAUAUACAUCAUAACAGCUAAACAUUAGAUUACCGCACAAAUGCAUCCUUUGUGAUGAUCCUGGAGACCCUUUGUAUCUCUAAAUCUUUCUUACCUCUAGAAUGAAUUACUUCAAGUCCAGACACUCCUCCUAAUUCAUACUAGGGAGUCUCUUCAUCCCCAUAAGCUUUUUCAGUUCAUCAAACAUCGCCACCUUCAAUGGUUUGGUGAAAAUGUUUACAAGUUGCAUCUCUGUAUUUGCAAUACUCCAAAUCCAGCUUCAUCUUAUUUACUUGAUCUCUCAGAAAAUGGAAUUUUCUCUCGAUAUGCUAUCUUUUGCCAUGGCUUAUAGGACGAUCAGCCAAAUCAAUUGCUAACUUGUUAUCAACAAGCAACUUGAUUCUAUCAACUUCAAAUGCAUUCAGUUCUUCCAAUAACAUUUCAAUCCAUAGUGCCUGACAUGCUGCAUAAGAAGUUGCAACAUAUUUAGCUUCAGAAGAUGAUAAAGCUACUAUGCCCUGCUUCUUAGAACUCCAAGAGAUUGGAGCAGCACCAAUCAUGAAGAGGUAGCAUGUAGUACUCUUUUUAUCGUCUUGAUCUCCUUCUCAGUAAGAAUCUGAAUAUCCAUAGAUUGUUGCCUUCUUAUCAGUGUUCCUUUGAUUAGGAAUUAGCACUCCAUAAUCAAUUAUGUCUCUAUUGUAUCUCAAAAUUCUCUUAAAAGCUAUCAGAUGGAAAAUUUUAGGCUAUUCCAUGAACAUACUAACUAAUCCCACGCCGUGAGCUAUAUAUGGCCUUUUGUUGCACAUAUAUCUGAGUGGGCCUAUAAUUUGUCUGUAUAUAGUAGCAUUCAUAGGUUCAUCAUUUGUGUCUUCACUCAAUUUAGCACCUGCUGUUGGAAAUUUAGGUCUUAAUAUAAACAAAUUUCAUAAUACAUGUUCAACAAUUAUGAAUCAAUAGCGGAAGCAAACAAAACAUUGAACAUGAUUAUGAUCGGAUCUACGACAUGUUUGAUUUAUCAAGAUAUUAAGAAUUAGGGUAUUAGGAAUACCUGGAUAAUUGUGUCUUUUAUUGCCAAAAAAAUUAAACUAGACAUUGGAUAUUAUUCCCCAAAAAUAACUACACAUUAGGUACCCUUGUGCAAAAUUGUAAGUAAUGGAAGUAAUAAAUGAAUCUCGUAUAAGUCUUAUCACCUGUUUUUCUGUAACAAUUGUUGCUCCAAUAAUAUUUGUACAUUCAUUUUUCAAUCUAUUGCCAUCGAUAACCUUUUGAUCUAGGAUGAUUAGAAUGUUUGCUUCUGUUGAAUAGCGACUGGUCAGAAGUUGUAUACCUUUUGUUGGUGGCCUAAAGAACUAUUUAUAUGGCCGAUGAUAUGACUGCUGAUGUAGCCAUUGAGGGGCUGCUACGAAUAUGUAACUAUCAGCCGUUGCUUUGUGUUGAUGGUCAGAAGCCUUACGGAUCUGAAGGAUCCUAAGAGUGUGUUUGGAUGGGGGAAUGUUUUGAGGGAAUUAAACUAUUUGAGGUGAGUUCAAACAAUAAAAUUCACCUUGAAGUAGUUGAAUUCCCUCAAAACAUUACUUUCCCUCAAAAUAUUCCCCCAUCCAAACACACUCUAAGCCUUUAGACCAUUGGAGAAGUUGGUCCAGUAGAAUGUGGCUGAAGGUGUAACUAUUGAUGUAUUUGGGCCUAUGCUCGGUCCGGAGCACUUUGGGAUUUGUAUUGACCGAUUUUAGAGUCUUGGACCGGUUCAGAACACCUUUCACCAUGAUUAAGGUAGUGUCAGUGUCACAUGUUAAGUUAAUAUUUCAAGCACCACUCCAAUGCAUAGCACUAACUCUCCAUCUUCUUAAUUUGAUGAAGAACAAUAACAAAACCACAACCAAGGCCUGUAAGUUACACCAUUCCUCCUCGGUAGUUGCAGAAUCCAGGUUCUGCAUAAAUCACACCAAAAUUAAUGCAUUAUUUAUUCCAUGUACAUCAUCAUCACACAUUAAGUUAGCCUCACCCUCUUCAACUAUAAAAUUAGCAACACGAUCGCUGAAUACAUAUAUAUGGUUUUGAUGUUUUUUACUUUCUCUCAUUCUCAUCAUACACAAACACAGGUUUUUUUUUUUUUUAAAAAAAAAAAACCAAAAUAAUUUUAUUAGAUAAACUAAACAUACCACCAAAGGAGUACUUGGGAGUUGUUGUUUGUUUUUGUUGAUGUUGUUUUGUUUGUUCCAUGUGUACAAAACACUACUCAAUGGUUCUGUGUCUGUUCGUGAGCUUGCAUUAAUUUAUUUCCACGGUAACAUUUUGCUAAAUGAUACUAAUCAGGAGUGUGAUUCAUUUUUUCUGUCCUUCUCUUAUUUGAUCCAUCGCUACAAAUUAACAUGAAUAUAACAUGAAAAUUGAUUAUUUUCUCCUCUGGUUUCCUCUCUUUUCUCUGUUAUUUUUGUUUUUUUCUUCAUUAUUGUUUGUGUGAUCUAUGAUCUAGUAUGCUCUGCGUGAAAUUGUUUCAUCAUCUUAAUGUUUCUAGUUCUUGUUGUAUUGAUUUCUAAAUUGUUUUUAGGAUAUGAGGAUGAUUUGUUCUGGCUUAUAGGCUUGAAUCCAUGAUGAUUUUCUCUGCUUUGACUCUUCCUUUUGAUGAUUGAGCUUGGGAUAUGUCAUUUUAGAUUGAUUUUCUAUACUAUGACGGCGUAAACCUUUUUUGUACAAGCGUCCAAUUAAAUCAAGCAAAGUUGAUAAUUGCAGAGAUGUUGUGGGAACUAACUUAAAAUAGUGACAUCAUGAAGUGAUUUGAUUGGAUACAUGUGUAAAAAAGUUUUACAGUGUAUACAAAUCAAAUCCCAUUUUAAUAGAGAUUGAUUUCUAUACUCUGAUUGUGUACAUUUAAAUUUAUUUAUACUAUAAUUACAAAAAAAUGAAAGACAUUGAUACCUUUCUAAUUUUUGCUAGAAAAAAUAGAGUUAACAUAUACCAAGUUACGCGGUAUGCCAUUUUGUGGCAUGAGACGAGACAUCAUGGUAUGAGAUGCUAAUAGUCUCCAGAAAGGGCCUGGCUGAAGAGCUCCCCAACUUAGGCUUGAAAAGGAUGUUUUGGUGGUGUCAAGCGUCAACUAUAGUCGAUCAUAGUUUGGUCCAUUUCUGUCUCAAAACAUAUUGUCACAGUUUGCACUGCUCCUGACACUCAAAUUCCAAUUUAUGCAAACUCCAAGUGGCUUGCUUGGGCCAAAAGCCUUCAGAUAUUCUACCUUUAUCAGCUUCAGAGGUUCAGACACUCGAUGUGAUUUUAGUGGCUUCCUCAAUAAAUAUCUGAUUGAUCGUGGAUUCCGCACCUUCUUCGAUGACGGGGAGCUUGAAAGAGGGACCCAAAUAACGGUAGAAAUUCCUAAGGCAAUUGAAGAGUCCAGGAUUUUCAUCCCAGUUUUAUCAGAAAAUUAUGCAUCUUCUUCAUUUUGCUUAGACGAACUUGUGAAGAUCCUUGAAGAGUUUAAAAAAGGGAAUGGUCGAUGGGUUUUUCCAGUUUUCUAUUACGUUAAUAUCUCUGAUGUGAAGAAUCAAACUGGCAGUUAUGGACAAGCAUUGGCUGUUCACAAGAACCGCGUCAUGCCUGAGAGGUUUGAGAAAUGGAUCAACGCCUUGGCUUCAGUCGCUGACUUUCGCGGCUGCCAUAUGGAAAGGUAGCUAACCAAUCUUUUCCCCUUAAUGUUUAUUUUGUUUUUUUUAUUUCCAUUUGUAUGAAUAAUUUUAUUUUAUUUUUAAAUGAUAAAUGUUAGUUGUUAUAUUUUGUUAGUGACUGACUACUGACUGGGAAGAUGAGCUCACAAUCUUUUUAUCACUCCUUUGUCUGAAUAAUAUUAAUACGAUGUCCUUAUUUAAUUAGAAAAGAAAUCCUAGUGGACCGGGUAUUGCUUAAAUAACUAAUAGAAAUAUUGAUUGAUUGGUGAACGAGUUACCACUUUCUUAGUAGUUAGUUCCAACUCCCUUAAGAGUUUGUUAGUAGGUAUCUCUACUAGCUCUAUAUAUAAAUUAUCUCAUGUACUCAUUUACCAUCUGUUAUCAAUCAAUAUGAAUUCGAAGAAAUUUUUCUCAAUAUUAAACUCUCAAGUUUACUUUUUUAUGAGGUAAAUCUUAACUGUUUCGGAUCCUGUGAUUUGUAACAAUAAUUGUAUGCUAAACAAAUUGAGGAAACCUUGUUAUAUAUAACCAUAAUUGAUAUGAUGCAUUUCUUUGAUUGGGGGGCAGGGCAAGGGGUAUAUAUGAAAUCCGGUACAUAUAUGAGAUUAUUCAAGAGGUCUCUAAACAUGUUGCUUGCUCAAUUGGCCUAGAUCAUCGAGUAGAGAAAGUUAUGCGUUAUUUGAAUUCUAGUGUCAGAUCAGACAAUAAUGGAGUUUGUGUGGUAGGGAUAUGUGGACUUCCUGGAAUGGGGAAAACAACACUUGCUCGUGGAGUUUAUCACUUCGGUGGUGGAACUGAAUUUGACUCUUGUCGCUUUUUUGAUAAUGUGGGAGAGUAUGUAAAGAAACAUGGAUUAGUACAUCUCCAACAGAUGCUUCUCUCUGCAAUAGUUGGACACAGCAACAGUACUAUGUUUGAAAAUGUGGAUGAAAGGAUGUCAAAAAUAAAACAUAUGCUCAACCAAAAGAGGGUCUUCUUGGUUCUUGAAGACGUUCAUGAUUCUGAGGUCUUGAAAGCCAUUGUUAAACUGACUACUUUCUUUGGUUCUGGUAGCAAAGUCAUCAUUACAGCAAUGGAGAAAUGCUUUCUAGAACUUCAUGGCAUUAAAAGAAUAUAUGAGGUAGAAAGAAUGAAUAAGGUAGAGGCUUUUCAAUUGCUUAAUUUGAAAGCUUUUGAUUCUAUGAGCAUUAGUCCUUGUUAUAUGACCGUUUUAGAGGGUCUUGAAACUUAUGCCUCUGGGUAUCCGUUCGUUUUGGAAGUGAUAGGUUCCUACUUGAGUGGGAAAAGUAUGGAAGAAUGUGAAUCUGCAUUGCACCAGUAUAAAGAAAUUUCAAACAGAGACAUCAAGAAGAUACUACAAGUAAGCUUUGACGCUUUGGAGAAAUCUCAGCAGAAUAUGUUAAUUCACAUUGCACUUCACCUCAGAGAACAAGAAUUGGAAAUGGUUGAAAACUUGCUUCAUCGUAAAUAUGGAGUGUGCCCGAAAGAUGAUAUUAGAGUGUUGCUUAAUAAAUCUCUGAUAAAGAUUAAUGAGAAUGGUCAGGUGAUAUUACAUGGCUUAACACAAGACAUGGUUAGAGAUGAUAUUCCAGUAGAAGAUCUUGGCUAAAUUAGUAGGAUACGGUUGUUUGAGGUAAGAAUGAUCUGUAUUUAUAUUUUUAGCCCUAAUAUUUCUCUAUCCACAAUGAAGAAAUUGUUGUUUAAUAAUGUAACUUUGUUUCCAAUGGAGCAGGAGCACGACAAGCGGCAAAUCCAACCUGCCUUCAGUGAUGGAAGCAUGAUCUAGGAUUCAAUGGAAUUGGAAUAUCAAUCAUCAGAGCAUUGAUGUCUUCCUCCUCUUCUCCUGAUGGUUCAUGGUGUUUCUUAGGAUCUACCCCCCUUCUUUGAUGCAUUGAUCUUGUAAUUUGGGUUGCCUCUAACUUAAUUUUACAAAACCAGCUUGUAAGGUAAGAGGUAUCGCUCUUUAUAAACUCUUUUUCGGUCUUCCUUCUAUUCAAUGUAAAACUUGGGUUUUUCCAAUACACCCCUCACACCUAACACUAUUGAGCUUGGUGCGUAGAUAAUUUGAUGAGUGACUUGAAUGGAUAAACUCUGAUACCAUGAUAGAAUUUGAGUUAGGCUGAACUGAAAUUCUAAGAUGGUAUCCGAGACUAUUCAACAUCAAUUGAGUCACCUUCUAUCGGGUUACUCGAGUCACACUCCAGAUGUCUGGUGCUGAGUUUUAGGGGUUGUGUUGAGAGUUUUAUAUUGGAUGAGAUAUGACUUGAAAAUGAGGCUACAAGUGGG
Molecule: long non-coding RNA, 7476 nt
Filed under: Medicago truncatula (barrel medic)
Lineage: Eukaryota; Viridiplantae; Streptophyta; Magnoliopsida; Fabales; Fabaceae
Description: long non-coding RNA (MTRU_LNC006091)
Source: RNAcentral